GGCGGCGUAGCUCAGAGGUAGAGCAGUGCUCUCAUAAGGCACCUGUCGGAGGUUCGAGUCCUCCCGCCGCCA
This 72-nucleotide transfer RNA is filed under the name Deltaproteobacteria bacterium. RNAcentral describes it as "tRNA-Met". It matches the Rfam family "tRNA". From Rfam's summary of the family: Transfer RNA (tRNA) molecules are approximately 80 nucleotides in length. The record is from RNAcentral. Lineage: Bacteria; Pseudomonadati; Myxococcota; Myxococcia.